Long non-coding RNA from Aethina tumida (small hive beetle), 490 nucleotides. RefSeq lists it as uncharacterized. The transcript is spliced from 3 exons. NCBI's taxonomy places the organism in Eukaryota, Metazoa, Arthropoda, Insecta, Coleoptera, Nitidulidae. The record is from RefSeq and is a predicted model, not a curated record.
CCCUCAGGCGCCGGCGGUCACUCAUGAAACUAAACUUGGACUGGUCUGAAAAAAUGACGUCCACUGCGGUAAAAGCCAAUUUACGUGCUUUUAAGCCCAUUCUAGACUGUGUAACUUCCAAGUUGAGGAGAGUCAGAUGUAGUGAAACGAGAUUUAUUAGUCGUUUGUACCUUCCUGUAUAUUAAACUGUAAUUAUCUGUUGAUAUACCGCACGGUAUAUAUAGCUUGUCUCAACUGUCGUCGGAGCAACCACGUGGAUUGUCGGUGUUUUUGUCCACUGUAUGCUACAUUUGUACUGGUCAUGUUUGUAACUAAGGAAAACCAAGGGUCACCUGUUAGUGCAUGAAACUAGUGACUAAGAGUCGUGUUUUCAUCGAACCCAGCCCAUCUGAAAAUGCCCAGGCAUCCUAAAUUAGGAAUACGGAGAGAUUGGCAAAGAUAUAUCUAUCAAGCUGGAGGUUUUGAAAAAGAAUUUCUACAAAGUGAAUUA